RNAcentral lists this long non-coding RNA (257 nucleotides) under Elaeis guineensis (African oil palm). RNAcentral's name for it is "long non-coding RNA (EGUI_LNC021849)". Lineage: Eukaryota; Viridiplantae; Streptophyta; Magnoliopsida; Arecales; Arecaceae. The record is from RNAcentral.
CCCUGGAGCAUUGUCCUGUCAAGGACAUGGGUUAAUUCUGAUGACCUGACAAUCCACGUCGAUUUGACAGCCCCCGAUGAUUUGACAACUCUCCAGUUGUCUGCACCAUUAAUUGCGGGACCAUACCACAUUCUACUAUAAAACGGGGUAAGGCAACAGUUUUGGUAAGCUUUCUUAAGCUCUUUUAAGCUUUCUCAAGCUGAGCCCCUGGUUCUUUCCACUGUUGCCUAGUUUCCUCUCUGACUUGAGCGUCGGAG